GACGAACGCUGGCGGCGUGCUUAACACAUGCAAGUCGAACGGAAAGGCCCUGCUUGCAGGGUACUCGAGUGGCGAACGGGUGAGUAACACGUGGGUGAUCUGCCCUGCACUUCGGGAUAAGCCUGGGAAACUGGGUCUAAUACCGGAUAGGAGCCAUUUUUAGUGUGAUGGUUGGAAAGUUUUUUCGGUGUAGGAUGAGCUCGCGGCCUAUCAGCUUGUUGGUGGGGUAAUGGCCUACCAAGGCGGCGACGGGUAGCCGGCCUGAGAGGGUGGACGGCCACAUUGGGACUGAGGUACGGCCCAGACUCCUACGGGAGGCAGCAGUGGGGAAUAUUGCACAAUGGGCGCAAGCCGGAUGCAGCGACGCCGCGGGGGGGAUGACGGCCUUCGGGUUGUAAACUCCUUUCGCUAGGGACGAAGCUUUUUGUGACGGUACCUAGAUAAGAAGCACCGGCUAACUACGUG
This 465-nucleotide ribosomal RNA is filed under the name uncultured bacterium. Its description in RNAcentral is "partial 16S ribosomal RNA". It matches the Rfam family "Bacterial small subunit ribosomal RNA", at positions 28 to 507 of the family's 1533-position model. The record is from RNAcentral.